Long non-coding RNA from Agelaius phoeniceus (red-winged blackbird), 1519 nucleotides. RefSeq lists it as uncharacterized. NCBI's taxonomy places the organism in Eukaryota, Metazoa, Chordata, Aves, Passeriformes, Icteridae. The record is from RefSeq and is a predicted model, not a curated record.
AUGUAGUUUGACAGAGAAUGCUUUCUGUCAUUCAUGUUUCUUAAAUGCAGAUUGUUGAUUUGCUGGACAGACAAGGAGAGGGGCAAUGUUCAGUUCCUGGGAACACUGUGAAAUAAAACUCAGGAAUCACUGCUCCAGCAGACUGGAUGUGGGUGUUGGACUGUCAGGAGCCAGUGGCACUGCCCAGGUGAGCUUUGACCCCUCCAGGCAGUGAUUGUGCUGCCCUGCUGUAGCUGAUUCUUUUUCUUUUGUCAAAGGCCCAUUUUGGACUUUUUGAGAUCAUCCAGAAGCUGGAAUCAUCCUGCCCAGAUUUCAGUGCAGGUGCUUCAUCCUCCCCUGGCACACAUGGCUGGCACAAGGGCAUGUGGAAGGACAAGGGCCAAGCUGUGCUCUGAGAAACUCCUGGGAAAUGGUGAUGGUGGCACAAAGAGCAAAGCACAAGAUUCCUGAAUAUCAGACAUUCUCCCUGCUGGCAGCUGCAGAGGCAGGGACCAUUUCUAUAUGGUUCUGUACCUGGAUAGUCUUGCAGUGCCACCUUCUCUAGGAUUGUCAGUGGAAUCCAGCACAUUGCUGUGGUGAUCUGCAGCUCUUCCAUUCCACCUCUUGGAUAACACUGCUGAAGUCCACUCCUGAAGGAGCCUUUGUGUAUCAAUUUUGCUUAAGCUUCAAGGAAUGUAUCAACAUGAAACUCCUGUUCCUGCCUCCAGGGAGGAAGAGGAGCUGGGAUUUCUCCUUUGAGAGAUGUGGGGCUCAUGUUUGAAGAAGAAAAAAGCCUGUGCUGUUUCCCCCCCCUGACAAGCAUAAGCAUGGAGAACAGAGAUGCUGCUGGUGUCUCUGGAGAGCUCUGCCAGCCCUGCCUGCCCUGCAGAGGAGCCGGAGUCUGGUUGGAUGGUUUGAAUCUCUGCCAUCAUUUGGAGCAGAAUGAAGCUCUGUGAAAGGACAGAGACUGAAUGCCAAUGGGGCUGUCAUUAGCUCGGGCAGCCCAGGCAGCAGCUGAUGUGCAGUUUGUGGUGGAAGUCAUGCAGACAGAAGGGGUGACUGGGGGUGGAGAGGCCCCAGCCCCCGGCUGCAGCCCGGCCCCAAAGGUGUGCUCCAGCCUUGCUGCUGGGAUGGACCAGGCACAGCUGGUGGCUUCACAAGACACAAAGGCUCCAUGGACCAUCCAUUUGCUGUCAAUUUUUCAGUGAUGUUGGGUGCUGCUGGCCCAGCUCCAUCUUUCUUCCACAGUAAUCAAAGGAAAUGCACCCUAGUCUUGAAGUCUGGUGGUUCAGGACUGAAAGCUUAAUGGCUUUCCUUGGCUUUUUUUUCCCCUCUCUCUUUUAUGAAGCAUAGGGUGUUUAGAACUAUGGAAGCAGUGCAAGAAAAAUAUUAAUGAAUAACUAUGGAGUGCAGACAUUAAUGCAUUCCUUUCUCUUGAAAUAACUGGCUUUUCUCUGUGGGGUCUGUAACAAAAAAGUGUCUGCAGAGUCUGAACCUGCUGUAUAGAAGCCAAAGUAGAUGAUGAUGAUUUAGAACUUCA